RNAcentral lists this ribosomal RNA (442 nucleotides) under uncultured bacterium. RNAcentral's name for it is "partial 16S ribosomal RNA". It matches the Rfam family "Bacterial small subunit ribosomal RNA", at positions 338 to 795 of the family's 1533-position model. The record is from RNAcentral.
CCUACGGGUGGCAGCAGUAGGGAAUCUUUCACAAUGGGCGAAAGCCUGAUGGAGCAACGCCGCGUGCAGGAUGAAGGCCUUCGGGUUGUAAACUGCUUUUAUCAGCGAGAAAUAUGACGGUAACUUAUGAAUAAGGCUCGGCUAUCUCCGUGCCAGCAGCCGCGGUCAUACGUAGGAUCCGAGCAUUAUCCGGAGUGACUGGGUGUAAAGAGUUGCGUAGGUGGCAUAAGAAGUAGCUAGUGAAAUCUGGUGGCUCAACCAUUCAGACUAUUAGCUAAACUGUUAAGCUCGAGACCGUUAGGGGUAAGUGGAAUUUCUAGUGUAGGAGUGAAAUGCGUAGAUAUUAGAAGGAACACCAAUAGCGUAGGCAGGUUACUGGGACGGUUCUGACACUAAGGCACGAAAGCGUAGGGAGCAAACGGGAUUAGAUACCCCAGUAGUC